RNAcentral lists this long non-coding RNA (133 nucleotides) under Polistes fuscatus (common paper wasp). RNAcentral's name for it is "uncharacterized LOC122517118". Lineage: Eukaryota; Metazoa; Arthropoda; Insecta; Hymenoptera; Vespidae. The record is from RNAcentral.
AGGACAGAAAAUAUUGGAGUCUCAAUGGGCUCAAAUGAAAUAUUGAAGAAUUCGCUUCAGCAAUGACAUUGAUGGCUAUGAUACAAAAACCAGAAUCCACGGAUGAAAAUAUGGACUUGGUUUGACCGAAAAA